UUUUUUUUUUUUUGUCUUGGAAAACGAAAUCACUCCCUCCGUCUCCCAACCUAAGCAAGUAGAGUUGCCAAUACAAAUUUAUCUCUACUGUUAAUUUUCUAAGGGAUAGACAAAAUAAAAGAGAAAUGGGCCCUCUGUGAGGAGGGACAUUAGAGGCUGGGAGGGGCUGGGCUUGCCCAGUGGACCCCCUCAACUGCAGAGAUGCCUAAGAGAGUCCAGAGCACCUGGCCCUCAGACUCUUUCAGGACACAGUCCUGCUCUACUUCUCCUUCUAGAACAAAUUGUCUCCUUAAAGACUAAUCAUGGGGAACAGUGAAAGUGGAGCCUCUCAAAGAAACCCUAUUGAAAAGGUCUAAGCUCUGGCCUCCCUGGCUUCCUGAAUUUGUGGGUGAGUAGUGAGUUCCAGGCGAAACCCCAGAUUUCACUUCCACCAUCCUCUGGGAGAAGGGAAGAGGCAAUUACUUUCCUCACCCUCUGGUCCAACUACAGUACAGGAGAGAUGGACGAGAUGGAGGGAAAGAGGUGAAACACAGGACCCCAGAGCAAGGAGGGUAGAAAAGGAGCACCUACUGGCUAGCCCUCCUACCACAACUAGUAUGAGUUGGAGAUCCAGGCUGGUCUGCCUGUUACCUAAGGAGAGAGCUUUUGUGGCACAAGCCUCAGCUCACUUCUCCUUCUAGCUGGGAUUCACACACCCUUCCACCAAGUUCCUUCCCUUGGUUCUAAUCUCAUAGUAAGGCCUGAGGUAGUUAAUUCAUUUAUACUGGUAGCAUCCAUUACCUGUGGUUAUUCAAAACAUAUGCUCCCAAGGAGCUUCCUGCUAUUGCAUUUAAGGGGAAAACAUCUUUCUUUUCUUUUGCCCUAUCAGUUUAGAUUUAACCACGUUAAGGUACCAGUAAUGACACCCUCAGACUGGGCCCAAGGAGGAGCACAGGGCCCAGGGUCAGUGUUGGGGUUUUUGCCUUCAGCCUCUAAAUCCACCUCUAGUCCUUAGGCCUUCUCCCUCUCCAAUUUCAGAUAAAGAAGCCUUAUGAAACCAAAGGAAAGAAACUGAAAUUUUGAGCUGUUACUAUAAAUCUAAGAAAAAUGUUCUGCAUCUAAAUCAUCAUGAUAUUUGAAAGGGAAAUAGUUUUAUGUCCCCUUGCACUGAUGCAGACUUUUUCCAAUCUUCCUACAGUUGCUCUGUCAGGCUGUGCUGUUUUCCGUCUACCAAUUGUCAACAAACAGGCAAAGAGUUGCAUGGUUUCAAUGUUGAAGCCACCAGGAUCUCCCCAUAAAUGCUUCAGGGGAAGGAAAGGAUGAGAGAUGGAUUGAAAGGGUUGACUGUUCCUCCUGUGAAUUGAGAGCUCCAGUGGUCUCUCGGGGGCUCUGUGAGGUCUGUUCAAAGCAUGGCUGGUUCACAGUUUUAAGAGAGUAUGUUUCUGUGGUGGGAGGAGGGGAGGGCACCCGUGAGAGCAAACCAAUGCCUCUCCUCCCUGGACAGGAUCAUCUUUACUGUGUGAGCAGAAUCUUGCUGGUGAGACUACACGUGAAUACCGUUUUCUCAAACAAGCUACUACAGCAAUCCUCAGAUUUCCUUUACUGUCCAGUUACCCAAACGUGUUUGAAAUUACUGUUUCAUCCCUUGGGGGUAUGACAAAUUGUUCACUAUAGAUUAGAUACUUAAAACACAUUUGUUUUACCUGAGUCACAUCUUUAUGGAAACUUUCCCAGGAUUGAAUUUGCAAGAAUCCAUGACUGGCAUUUAUCAUAGUUAUUAAGCAUAAUGAAAUCCAAACCAAUACGAAUUCAUCUACUAUAUCAGCCUCAAGGGCUCCAUUUCAUAUUCUAAAGUUCCAGGUUAUGAAUACUGCUUGUAGCUUUGACUCAGUUACUGUUUGGUUGGCAAUUCCAGUUUGAGAGAAGUCAGUUUAGUUUAUUUAGUUUCUGUUUCACUUAAAAUAAAAUCUUAAAAACCAUUUAACCUAAAUAUUUAAAGAUUUUAAUUUCAAGAAAAGAAUGUGGUUAUGAUAUAGUUAGGAAAGUCAUUAUUCUAAACAUACUGGGGUUCCUUGUGGCCUGGUAGGUUAAGGAUCAGGUGUUAGCACUGCUGUGUACCUGGCUCAGGAACUUCCGCAUGCCACAGGCACAGUCAAAAAGAAAAAAGAAAAAAAUAUAUUAUUAAAGAAUAACACUUCAGAAGGGAGAAAUGGAUGAAAGCUGUCAAAAAAUAUGAACUUUCAGUUAGAAGACACAUAAUUUCUAGGAAUGCAAGGUACAACAUAAUGACUACAGUUAACACUGUCUUAUGGCAUAUUUGAAAGUUAAGAGAGUGAAUCCCAGGAGUUCUUGUUACAAGGAGAAAACAUCUCUUUUCUUUUACAUUUUUUGUACCUACAUGAGAUGAUAGAUGUUAAUUAACCUUACUGUGGUAAUCACUUCACAAUAUAUGUAAGUUGAAACAUUGUGCUAUACACCUUACACAGUGCUGUGUAUCAACUGUAUCUCAAAAAAAACUGAAGGAAGGGAGGAAUUACACUUCACUAUUUAGGCAUAAUCUUAUUAAAAAAUGGAAACCCUAAAGCUGACGCAGGCCAAUACAAGAUGUGCUCUAAAGCAGGGUUUCCCAACAGCAGCAAUGUCUACAUCUUUGUUGUGAAGAGCUGUCCUGUGCAUUGUAGAUGAUUAGCGCAUCGCUGGCCUUGAACCAUUAGAUGCCAGUAACACCCCCUGCCCAGCGUAACAAAGUCUCCAGACAUUGGCAAAUGUCUCUGUGGGAUCAAAAUCACCCACAAUGGAGAACCCUGUCUAAAGAAAGAACUACGAUUAUCCCAAAGUAGAAGUCAGAUAACCUGCAUGAACUAUGGCCCACAAAAAAGGCCUCUCCUUCAGUAAUCCUUACACAGACACUCUCAACAUGUGGCAUCCCCUGUCCAAACUGCAGGGUUCCUGCCAAGUCCAACUUCAUCUGCCACUGACUCUAGUGAUUUGAACAGAUUCUAGAAAGAUAACGUAGUUCGAGAUCCUCAUUUCCAAGGCAAAGUUAGAGAACGUUGACCAAGAUAUGUGCACUCAAUUCUUCUGAUGAACGCUAUUCCCCAGAUCAGGAAUUGUUCUUACACUUUGUGCUAAUGGGCAGCAAUGUUCAUUCAUCACGUGUGCUAAAUCUGGACACAAUGUGAAUCUUUUUCUUCAUCACAUAGAUGUAGUAGUUCAUGGCGGUUUUUUAAGUGCCCUGCAUUGUGCAAUUAACUAACCACAAACAAAAAAAGAGAAAAAUUGUCAGAUGUUGUCACUACCUUUAAGGAGCUAAUAAUCAAUUAAUACACUAUUCUAGUCUGGUUUCCUUCCAGCGUCACUCUUGCUAACCUUCACCCUCCAUUGCCCUUCUUUGAUAGAUCCUGGCCUCACACAGGGAGAAACAUACAAAUACAUUCCUGUAGAAGUUGUCCUUUUAUUCUGAAAGGCAGAGUUCCUUUUUUGUGACAUCUCAGUCCUGCUUGAAUUGACCCCACAUGUUGAUCAUACACUUAUUUCAACUCCUCUCACCACUAAAGAGUGACUCCCUCACUUUGUAUCAAUCUUAUGGUUUAUGUUUUUAUGAAACUGUAAGCAUAGAGAGCAAAUUAAACACAUAAAAAAGGAAAUGUUCAUAAUAGUCAAAAUCUACCCUUAGAUUGUAAAUUCAUGGGCUGAGUAGUUAAAUGUUAGUAGCUACCUGGAGUACUGUGUUGAAAAGGAAUCUCUGGCUAAAUGAAGUAAUGGUUCAGUUUCUGCCAUGUGCAGAAUGCUAUGGGAACUCAGAAGAGGGAGUCCUUAUCUCUGCAGGAGAUGUUAGGGAUGGUCUUCUAAAAAACAUGACAUUUCUCAAAGUUCCAAAUCUCUACGUGACUAGAGAAUGUUUCAGGCAGAAGAUAAUGCAUUUGCAAGAAUCUCCAGCAAGUUCAAGCAGUAAUUCAAGGCAUGUGAGUUGGGUUUGCAGGGAAGGUUGAAAAUGUUGUGGAAAAUGGGACUGAAAAGUUAGAAACUGUAAAGGAGGAACCCAGAUUUUUAAAAAAUUUCUUUCCCUGGCAGCAGUGUAAAGAAUGAACUGAAGAGAUUUUUUUUUUUUUUUUUGUAAUGACCAUGUUACUCACCAUCUUAAAAGAAUCCACCUGGGGAGACACAGCAAAGGACUCAGAAACUGAAGAUCAGAUUUUCAGUGGCAUCUAUACUGAUAAAAUUUCUCAUUUAUAUAUGAAAGAUAACAUUAAACCUUCUCUAAUAGCAAGAGUUAAAUGUGAAGAUGGUG
Molecule: long non-coding RNA, 4270 nt
Filed under: Sus scrofa (pig)
Lineage: Eukaryota; Metazoa; Chordata; Mammalia; Artiodactyla; Suidae
Description: lncRNA (ENSSSCG00000055122.1)
Source: RNAcentral